AACACACUGAGCCCCUUAGGGCUCUCCCUCGCAUAUGGGAAGGUCUGAGGCGCCUCUCAGCAGAGAUCGCAGGGAGGACACUCCCGGAGGAGCUAACAGAAAGGCACUUGGCCCUCUAAGUCGAAGAGGCUUCGGCUGAGACUCAGAUGAGGAACCAAGCUGAAAAGCUCCGCGGCGUCGAUACUAAGUCCAAUGAGCGUGACUCUCACGAGCAACUCAAUUCAGACUACUCUUU
RNAcentral lists this RNase P RNA (235 nucleotides) under uncultured Stichotrichia. RNAcentral's name for it is "partial Nuclear RNase P". It matches the Rfam family "Nuclear RNase P", at positions 26 to 293 of the family's 301-position model. From Rfam's summary of the family: Ribonuclease P (RNase P) is a ubiquitous endoribonuclease, found in archaea, bacteria and eukarya as well as chloroplasts and mitochondria. Its best characterised activity is the generation of mature 5'-ends of tRNAs by cleaving the 5'-leader elements of precursor-tRNAs. Lineage: Eukaryota; Ciliophora; Spirotrichea. The record is from RNAcentral.